UUAAGCCUGGCCCUGGUAAACCAAUUGAAGAUGCCAUUUAGAAGACCACUUAAUUGUUUCCUCGUCCCUAUGAAUGGAGACUAAGCGUGCAAACCGGGGAUGUGAAGGAGAGAAACCUGACAGGGCCUAAUCAUUUCCCCAUGGAAUUUCCCAUGAUCAAUGGAGCUUUUACAGGUUUGAAAAACAAAUGUGGUUAGACCCAAGUAGGUCACUGCGACUCAAGCCCUGCCUCAGGUAGUAGAAAAAAAUUAGCCCCCAU
RNAcentral lists this long non-coding RNA (259 nucleotides) under Gossypium barbadense (sea-island cotton). RNAcentral describes it as "long non-coding RNA (GBAR_LNC003614)". The record is from RNAcentral. Lineage: Eukaryota; Viridiplantae; Streptophyta; Magnoliopsida; Malvales; Malvaceae.